Molecule: unclassified non-coding RNA, 380 nt
Filed under: uncultured Chlamydiales bacterium
Lineage: Bacteria; Pseudomonadati; Chlamydiota; Chlamydiia; Chlamydiales
Description: contains 16S-23S intergenic spacer region
Source: RNAcentral
UCCCCGUUAACCGAGGCAGUCUCGCUAGAGUGCCCACCAUUACGUGCUGGCAACUAACGACAAGGGUUGCGCUCGUUGCGGGACUUAACCCAACACCUCACGGCACGAGCUGACGACAGCCAUGCAGCACCUGUGUAAUUGUCUCUUGCGAGAAAACUUCAUUUCUGAAGCGGUCAACUACAUGUCAAAUCCAGGUAAGGUUCUUCGCGUUGCAUCGAAUUAAACCACAUACUCCACUGCUUGUGCGGGUCCCCGUCAAUUCUUUUGAGUUUUACCCUUGCGAGCGUACUCCCCAGGCGGUAUACUUAUCGCGUUGGCUUCGGUACAGUCAGGGUUGAGCCUAACUACACCAAGUAUACAUCGUUUAGGGCAAGGACUAC